This 1021-nucleotide long non-coding RNA is filed under the name Homo sapiens (human). RNAcentral's name for it is "HSALNT0329546". Lineage: Eukaryota; Metazoa; Chordata; Mammalia; Primates; Hominidae. The record is from RNAcentral.
CAGUAAAUGCUGUGGCAUGAAGGACCCUCCUGGAGUGUCUGAGUUCUCAGGCUUCAAGGCCCCUAGAUAAGCAGAUUUCUCUCCCCUAUCACCAUAGUCACCCCAGGGACUGCAGGGCAGGCCGAAAUCAGCCAGUGACUCAGCUCCUUGGGCAAUUCAGCUGGCCCACAGACCACUUCCUCUGCUCCCCAGCGCCGGAUGGAUGCAGAUCUGUGAGUAAGGAGCCAGCUGCAGGCAAGCAGCUCGAGGGCAGGUGGGCAUGAUGUCUGGCUACCACUCGCACUGGACGCCACACACACAGCCAGGGUGGCAGAAGGCCCCACCUGCCAUGUGCCAGUGGGACACCACCCUCAUGGUCUGCGUUUCCAGGUUUCCAACUAAGGACUGAGCACACUCUCAACAUGGACCUCCUAACUGCUCUCGAGGAUGGACAGCUGGCCUCAAGGGAACACUGCAAAGUGGCUCUAGGAAGAAGCCACUGUCCCUCCAGACCAUAAAAAUGGCUACCAAGGGCAGAGCCAGCAGCUUUCGCUGUAAAGUUUCUCAAGAAAAUCACAGAUAUUCCCCUCUGUGAUGUUCAGCUCAGCCUGGAAAGGAGAGGUAGAAACUGAGAGUUGAAGAGGCUGAAUAAUUUCUCAAGCACACUCCCAACUCGACCACCCACAAGCAAAAAGGCAGAGCUGGGAUUCAAACACAGGCAGGAAUAAUAUAACUAACUGAAUUAUACAGGUGAGACCACGAAGGUCAAGCAAGGGUGACCAGCUUAGGCCCCUGGCUGGCAGGUAAGGAGGAGACUGACCCCAGCCUCCUGGCUCCUAGGGGAGGAAACAGUGAUGACAAAGGCCCCUUUGCAUGGCCAAGGUGGAGCCCUUUCUACCAAAGUUUAAACGUUUUAGUAUAAUAUCCAAGUGCAUCUUUUCCAACCUUAAAAACAUAUUUAAUUUCCUUAUAAAGCUGGUUGGCACUCUCCUCCUCCUCCAAAGCUCUGUAUUAGGCAGGGUUCAUAGUUGUAGACAACAGA